Molecule: ribosomal RNA, 207 nt
Filed under: uncultured bacterium
Lineage: Bacteria
Description: partial 16S ribosomal RNA
Rfam family: Bacterial small subunit ribosomal RNA
Source: RNAcentral
CGUGUAGGCGGCCAGGUAGGUCCGUUGUGAAAACUGGAGGCUUAACCUCCAGCCGUCGACGGAAACCAUCUGGCUAGAGUCCGGAAGAGGAGAGUGGAAUUCCUGGUGUAGCGGUGAGAUGCGCAGAUAUCAGGAAGAACACCCGUGGCGAAGGCGGCUCUCUGGGACGGUACUGACGCUGAGACGCGAAAGCGUGGGGAGCGAACA